Molecule: non-coding RNA, 2582 nt
Organism: Zonotrichia albicollis (white-throated sparrow)
Lineage: Eukaryota; Metazoa; Chordata; Aves; Passeriformes; Passerellidae
Source: RefSeq, a predicted model, not a curated record
GCAGCCCUCCUUCCAAGUGCCACAUCUCGCAGGCGUGGUUGUCAUCUUGGCCGCAGUUCGGGCGGAGCGGAGCCCAGGACAAGCCCGAGGGUAAGACUUUGGAUAAAUGCCUGGUGGAAAGAUGAAUACCACAGCCAUCUGGGAUCUAGCUCAACAGCUUUAUUGAAAUGGAUACAUGAAACAGAAUUUUCUACAGAAAAAUAGAAUUAACUUUGCAAUCAUUACCUAUUCUUUGCCUGGGACAAUACAUAAAAAUGGGUGCUAGCUGCAAACUGAGGAAUUAUGAACUGAAUUUUUCACAUAUAAACAAAGCAGGGCAAACACACUGUGACACCAAUCAGCUUUGUACUUCCAUCACUACAAGCCUGGCAGCAGGCUGGAAGACAAAGUAGAUGGGAAAUUGGCACCCUAAACAAAGCAGAGCUCGGAAGCACAUGUGUUAGCAGCCUCCUACAUUGGGCUUUGUGAGGUGUGUAGUUGUCUUCUCCCAAGAGGUCUUUCCAAACACCUGCUUGAAAGCACAUGCCAAAACUGUGGUGCAGACUAACAUUAUUGUUUAUUGUGUCUGUUUGGUGAUUUCUGAUGGCCCUUCCCAAGGGAUGCAAGCCUCAGUCACAGUGUUUGCUUAGUUGCUUCUGUGGAAUACACCUGCAGGGAAAAGAUCCACUCUCUAAAGCAAAACUGGUCUUUGGCUUUGAGGUUCAGCUCCAAGUCCACAGGGCUUGUUCUCUGUCUGUGACUCAACAACAUUUGGCACAUUAAAAACUGUGCCUUUAAUAAACUGGAAAAUAGCUUCUAAAGAAUCCUUUGAGGGAUUUAACAGUUUUCAUCUCUUGGUCUAUCUGUUUUGUCCAUUUUCAUUUAAGUUCAUGCAAUGCAAAGAAAUGAGCCUCUUGGGAAACAAAGACAUUACUGCAGUAGGAAAAUUAGCAAAAUAGGAAAGAUUAUACCACACCAUCCAACCUUGCAUGAAAACACAAAAGAAAAACAUAGGAAGGAGAGGCAAUGAGUAAAGAGAAUAUAUUGACUUGGGGUUUGUCCUGCCAGGCACAUUUCAGUACAGGGCUACUGAAUAGUGGCAAAUGGAUCACAGCUGAUAAACUACUUCAAAGCAGCACACCCAGACCUCCUAAUCCCAUAGGACUGCAGAGGAGAAAUGGCUUUUCAUCAGCAUGGAGCUGAGAGACAGAGGCUCCAUGUUUGCAGAUCCUUUCCCACAGGGGUGUCACUGUUGCUUUCCCUUGUCACUGCCCCCUGCCCCAGCUGCUGAAUUUACAGCUUUCUUUCCCUUCUCCAGAUUAUGCAGUAAUUACACAUUUCUCAGGCAGAAAAAGAACCCCUUCCACUGGCUGUUGUACAUCAGUAGAGGCCUUAUCAAGUACCACAGAGAAGGAAAGCAUGAAAUCACAGGCCAACAGUGCUUACAGCCCAUUUUCCCCCAUGUGGUUUUUUACCUUUUCCACACUGUCAUGGAGUCACACUUGAGAAUGACACUCUUCUGUAGCCUGCCUGUUCUGUCCUGCAGAAUUGCUGCCCAUCCAGUAGUUCUUCCACCUGCUGGUUUUCAUUCCCAGGGAAAUAAAUGGCACAUAUAUCUUACAACUUGAAUCCUGAUUUCUUUCCUCUUCCAAUCCAUUUAUGAAAUUGCAACAAUAAUUUUUUUUUUAGUUCUUAUCUUCUUAGCCAUGGUGCUUGCCAUCCCCCUCGUUCUGAUGACACUUCCAGAUUUCAUAAGAACUGUUUUGUCUUCAGCCAGGUCAUAAAAGGACACUGCACAACACAGGUUGGCCAGUCCUGGGAAUAACCACUGGGCACAGCUUAAGAUGUAUCACUCUACCUGCUUUUGCAGCUAUUUUUUCAGGCACCAAAAUGCACAACACUUCCCAGCCUGCUCAGGAGAAUGUCAUUUAAAACAGCAUCCAAGCUUCACUAAAUAAAAUAAGGAAGGUGGGAGGAUGAUUUAGCAACAUUUGUCCUUAAAUCCCCCUGGUUUUCCUUUUACUUAUUAUGUUCUGAGUAUCUACUAAAGGUUUAAUUAUUUGCUACACUACUUUCUACUCUCUAGAACCCAGAGAGCCUCUAACUCCCUGACACCUUUGCCCUCUCUCAUCCCUUUUUAAAGUAGAUACUAUAUUUGUAAUCUCACACAUGACUUUCAAGGGAAAUCAUUAAAGCUUGUUUUGGCCAGUUUUAUAUUUGCCUUGGAUGGAAUUCACCUGGCUCAGCUGAUUUGAAAACAUCUCCACUGCAAAGCACUGACAUUUCCUGUUUUAUCUCAAAUCACUUUUUGCUGCUGAUGUUAAUUGUGUUGCUGCCUGAUUGCAGAUGACCUUUGUAAAUGGACAGUCUUCCACAGCUGUCAAUUAUUUAAUUAGCUCAAAAGGCAGAAACAUAUGCUGUGGGUCCAAAGGUUUCAUCCCAGCUGAAUCUCAUGUAACUGUCAGGAGGAGACUAUUUAAUAUAAUUUCAUUUUUUAAAUUUAUUUGUUUUUCUGUAAGAAGUAAAGAGAAUAUUAAAGUUGCAAAAGUCCAGCUCCAAAAUAACAGGAAUUUCUGACAUUAAAGUUUCUUUUCCAACCUUAA